Molecule: ribosomal RNA, 443 nt
Filed under: uncultured bacterium
Lineage: Bacteria
Description: partial 16S ribosomal RNA
Rfam family: Bacterial small subunit ribosomal RNA
Source: RNAcentral
CCUACGGGAGGCAGCAGUGGGGGAUAUUGGACAAUGGGGGGAACCCUGAUCCAGCGACGCCGCGUGAGUGAAGAAGUAUUUCGGUAUGUAAAGCUCUGUCAGCAGGGAAGAAAGAAAUGACGGUACCUGACCAAGAAGCCCCGGCUAACUACGUGCCAGCAGCCGCGGUAAUACGGAGGGGGCAAGCGUUAUCCGGAAUUACUGGGUGUAAAGGGAGCGUAGACGGUUAAGUAAGUCUGGAGUGAAAGGCCGGGGCCCAACCCCGGGACUGCUCUGGAAACUAUUGAACUUGAGUGCAGGAGAGGUAAGCGGAAUUCCUAGGGUAGCGGUGAAAUGCGUAGAUAUUAGGAGGAACACCAGUGGCGAAGGCGGCUUACUGGACUGUAACUGACGUUGAGGCUCGAAAGCGUGGGGAGCAAACAGGAUUAGAUACCCGUGUAGUC